AACCUAAACAUAAAAUAGUUCCAAUUCAUUCAGUAAUUUUAUAUCAAUUUUGGGUUAAUCGAUUCUGUCAUAAACUUAUUAAAAGUGGCUUUAUUUUAUUGUUAAUUAAUUUAUUUAUAUCGAUAAUCUAAUUUGAACGGAAAGAACGAUACCUAUCGAUAUGAACAAAAAUGUAAAUUAUCAAAGAAAAUAUUUUUCAAGGUGUUGAGAAUGGUGUACUCGCAUAGAGUUAGACUAUUAACUAAGAAAAAAAAAAUGUAAGAGAUGCGAAUUGAGGUGAAGGGUUCCGCAAAGUUGUAACGGUACAUUACACUCAUCGGAAUUUACAGUAAAGUAAAUUCGGUCAGCGUCCUUCCAUCUCGUUCAUUGGUAUAAUUUGGUAUCGUCCUCUUUCGAGGAACAUAAACAGGGUCAAAGGCUUACUCGAUACAUCGAAAGGAGUACAUGGAAGUCUUCUUUACCGAGCGAGUUCGACACGCAGUAAAACUUUCGCUAACCUUAAAAAAUAAUUAAAAUGUUGCUUAAGUAAUAUGUGGUAUGAGUCAACCUCAUUGCCUUUGACCCUGUCCUUCAUUUAACUUGUUACUUCUUCCUCAAAAAGAACAAGAUACGAAAGUGGUUUUUUAACACCAUCGGUAAGACUACCUGACUAUGUUCUUAUCGACCAAUGAAAGUCUUAUCGAUGCAACAUCAUGGUCUCUUUUUCAAACUUGAUUUAAAGUAUAUAUUUAAAGCAUGAGUAUAUCAAUAUUAAUCGCAUAACUUCUUACCACAACUAUUAAAAACGAAUAGCCGUGAAAGUUUCAUGUAAAAUUACUCCUUGUUUUCCAUCAAGAAAUACUGUGAUCGUACUUUGUUCGUUGAAUUCUGCGAUACACCUGUUUAAAACCGGCUCGAAUCGAGUCUAGUGAACUGGAUCGUGAAUUCCGAGACCAGAUUCCGCGGACCUUGUUGCUUGCUCCGAUUUACUUUUUUAAACUACAGCAAUAUCUUUUCUUUACUCUCUAACUACUCCGAUAUAUAACUUUGAAAAACGAUAUGACAUAUUUUCUUUUUUUCUUUCUU
Molecule: long non-coding RNA, 1065 nt
Organism: Polistes canadensis
Lineage: Eukaryota; Metazoa; Arthropoda; Insecta; Hymenoptera; Vespidae
Exons: 3
Source: RefSeq, a predicted model, not a curated record